UAUGAAGAACGUAGCGAAAUGCGAUAAGUAAUGUGAAUUGCAGAAUCCAGUGAAUCAUCGAAUCUUUGAACGCACAUUGCGCCCGCCAGCAUUCUGGCGGGCAUGCCUGUUCGAGCGUCAUUUCAACCCUCGACCUCCCUUUGGGGAAGUCGGCGUUGGGGACCGGCAGCACACCGCCGGCCCUGAAAUGGAGUGGCGGCCCGUCCGCGGCGACCUCUGCGUAGUAAUCCAACUCGCACCGGAACCCCGACGCGGCCACGCCGUAAAACACCCAACUUCUGAACGUUGACCUCGAAUCAGGUAGGACUACCCGCUGAACUUAAGCAUAUCAAUAAGCGGAGGA
RNAcentral lists this unclassified non-coding RNA (343 nucleotides) under soil metagenome. Its description in RNAcentral is "partial contains 5.8S ribosomal RNA, internal transcribed spacer 2, and large subunit ribosomal RNA". The stretch from base 2 to 120 matches the Rfam family "5.8S ribosomal RNA", at positions 36 to 154 of the family's 154-position model. The record is from RNAcentral.